UAUAGCUUAGUGUUAUACUAGCAUAUUGUAUUUUGAUUACAAAGGAAUUAGAUUUAGCUGUAA
RNAcentral lists this transfer RNA (63 nucleotides) under Aglaiogyrodactylus forficulatus. RNAcentral's name for it is "tRNA-Gln". The record is from RNAcentral. Lineage: Eukaryota; Metazoa; Platyhelminthes; Monogenea; Gyrodactylidea; Oogyrodactylidae.